This 1412-nucleotide ribosomal RNA is filed under the name uncultured Verrucomicrobiota bacterium. RNAcentral's name for it is "uncultured Verrucomicrobia bacterium partial 16S ribosomal RNA". It matches the Rfam family "Bacterial small subunit ribosomal RNA". The record is from RNAcentral. Lineage: Bacteria; Pseudomonadati; Verrucomicrobiota.
GCGUUUAAGCAUGCAAGUCGAACGGUAGAGUAGUGCUUGCACUACUUGAGAGUGGCGAACGGGUGAGUAACGCGUAGAUGAUCUACCUUCUGGUUGGGGAUAGCUCAUGGAAACAUGGGGUAAUACCGAAUAAGAUCCUUCUGCUUUGGCGGAGGGAUGAAAGGGGCUUCGGCCUCGCCUGGGGAUGAGUCUGCGUAUGAUUAGCUAGUUGGUAGGGUAACGGCCUACCAAGGCUACGAUGGGUAGCUGGUCUGAGAGGAUGGUCAGCCACACUGGGACUGAGACACUGCCCAGACUCCCACGGGAGGCUGCAGUCGAGAAUCUUCCGCAAUGGGCGAAAGCCUGACGGAGCGAUGCCGCGUGCGGGAUGAAGGCCCUUGGGUCGUAAACCGCUGUCACCAGGGAAGAACAAAAUGACGGUACCUGGAGAGGAAGCACCGGCUAACUACGUGCCAGCAGCCGCGGUAAUACGUAGGGUGCGAGCGUUGUUCGGAUUUAUUGGGCGUAAAGGGUCCGCAGGGGGUCUCUUAAGUCAGAUGUGAAAUCCCGUGGCUCAACCACGGAACUGCAUUUGAAACUGAGAGACUGGAGUCUUGGAGAGGUGAGUGGAAUUCCUGGUGGAGCGGUGGAAUGCGUAGAUAUCAGGAGGAACACCGAAAGCGAAGGCAGCUCACUGGACAAGUACUGACCCUCAGGGACGAAAGCGUGGGUAGCAAACAGGAUUAGAUACCCUGGUAGUCCACGCCCUAAACGAUGGAUGCUAGUCGUUGGGAUGCUUGUCAUCCCAGUGAUGCAGCUAACGCAAUAAGCAUCCCGCCUGGGGAGUACGGUCGCAAGAUUAAAACUCAAAGGAAUAGACGGGGACCCGCACAAGCGGUGGAGCAUGUGGUUUAAUUCGAAGAUACGCGAAGAACCUUACCUGGGCUUGACAUCCCGAGAAUCUCCCAGAGAUGGGAGAGUGCUACUUCGGUAGAACUCGGUGACAGGUGCUGCACGGCUGUCGUCAGCUCGUGUCGUGAGAUGUUGGGUUAAGUCCCGCAACGAGCGCAACCCUCGUCCUUAGUUGCCAGCAGUUCGGCUGGGCACUCUAAGGAGACUGCCUGGGUAACCAGGAGGAAGGUGAGGACGACGUCAAGUCAUCAUGGCCCUUAUGUCCAGGGCGACACACGUGCUACAAUGGCGUGUACAAUGAGAGGCGAUACCGCGAGGUGGAGCAAAUCUAUAAAACACGUCCCAGUUCGGAUUGCAGUCUGCAACUCGACUGCAUGAAGUCGGAAUCGCUAGUAAUCGUGGAUCAGCCAUGCCACGGUGAAUACGUUCCCGGGUCUUGUACUCACCGCCCGUCACACCAUGGGAGUUGAUUUCACCCGAAGCGGGGAAGCUAAACUGGCUACCUGCCACGGUGGAUCAGC